AGAGUUUGAUCAUGGCUCAGGACGAAUGCUGGCGGUGUGCUUCACACAUGCAAGUCGAACGAGGUAGCAAUACCUAGUGGCGGACGGGUGAGUAACGCGUGGGAAUCUGCCUUAAGAUGGGGGAUAGCUAGCCGAAAGGCUAAUUAAUACCGCAUAUGUAUACAUUUCGACAGUUUUGUAUAUGAAAGUAGUAAUACGUCUUAAGAUGAGCCCGCGUUCGAUUAGCUAGUUGGUAGGGUAAAGGCCUACCAAGGCUACGAUCGAUAGGUGGUCCGAGAGGACGAUCACCCACAAUGGAACUGAGACACGGUCCAUACUCCUACGGGAGGCAGCAGUGGGGAAUUUUACGCAAUGGGCGAAAGCCUGACGUAGCGACACCGCGUGAGCGAAGAAGCCUUUUGGGGUGUAAAGCUCUGUCGGCUGGGAAGAAAAAAAUGACGGUACCAGCAAAGGAAGCAUCGGCUAACUACGUGCCAGCAGCCGCGGUAAGACGUAGGAUGCAAGCAUUGUCCGGAUUUAUUGGGCGUAAAGAGUUCGUAGGCGGUUUGUUAAGUCUAAUGUUAAAGAUCAGGGCUCAACCUUGAGACUGCAUUGGAUACUGGCAGACUAGAGUGUGGUAGAGGUAAGUGGAAUUCCUGGUGUAGCGGUGAAAUGCGUAGAUAUCAGGAAGAACACCAGUGGCGUAGGCGACUUACUGGGCCAUAACUGACGCUGAGGAACGAAAGCCAGGGGAGCAAAUGGGAUUAGAUACCCUGGUAGUCC
This 762-nucleotide ribosomal RNA is filed under the name uncultured prokaryote. Its description in RNAcentral is "bacterial SSU rRNA". It matches the Rfam family "Bacterial small subunit ribosomal RNA", at positions 8 to 796 of the family's 1533-position model. The record is from RNAcentral.